UCGUCAGCUCGUGUCGUGAGAUGUUGGGUCAAGUCCCGCAACGAGCGCAACCCUUGCCUAUAGUAGCCAGCAGUAAGAUGGGGACUCUAUAGGGACUGCCGGGGACAACCCGGAGGAAGGUGGGGAUGACGUCAAAUCAUCAUGCCCCUUACGGUCUGGGCUACACACGUGCUACAAUGGCGUAACAGAGAGAAGCGAGCCUGCGAGGGGGAGCGAACCUCAAAAAUAACGUCCCAGUUCGGACUGCAGUCUGCAACUCGACUGCACGAAGCCGGAAUCGCUAGUAAUCGCAGAUCAGAAUGCUGCGGUGAAUACGUUCCCGGGUCUUGUACACACCGCCCGUCACACCAUGGGAGUUGGUAAUGCCCGAAGCCGGUGGCCUAACGAAAGAGGGAGCCGUCGAAGGCAGGACCGAUGACUGGGGUGAAGUCGUAACAAGGUAACCGUA
This 448-nucleotide ribosomal RNA is filed under the name uncultured bacterium. RNAcentral's name for it is "bacterial SSU rRNA". It matches the Rfam family "Bacterial small subunit ribosomal RNA", at positions 1052 to 1504 of the family's 1533-position model. The record is from RNAcentral.